RNAcentral lists this transfer RNA (78 nucleotides) under Rickettsiales bacterium. Its description in RNAcentral is "tRNA-Arg". It matches the Rfam family "tRNA". Rfam says of the family: Transfer RNA (tRNA) molecules are approximately 80 nucleotides in length. Their secondary structure includes four short double-helical elements and three loops (D, anti-codon, and T loops). Further hydrogen bonds mediate the characteristic L-shaped molecular structure. tRNAs have two regions of fundamental functional importance: the anti-codon, which is responsible for specific mRNA codon recognition, and the 3' end, to which the tRNAs corresponding amino acid is attached (by aminoacyl-tRNA synthetases). tRNAs cope with the degeneracy of the genetic code in two manners: having more than one tRNA (with a specific anti-codon) for a particular amino acid; and 'wobble' base-pairing, i.e. permitting non-standard base-pairing at the 3rd anti-codon position. The record is from RNAcentral. RNAcentral also lists the same sequence under 1 other name. Lineage: Bacteria; Pseudomonadati; Pseudomonadota; Alphaproteobacteria; Rickettsiales.
CUGCUCGUAGCUCAGCUGGAUUAGAGCAACAGCCUUCUAAGCUGUGGGUCGUAGGUUCGAGUCCUACCGAGCAGGCCA